GAUGAACAACGCAGCGAAAUGCGAUAAGUAAUGCGAAUUGCAGAAUUCCAGUGAGUCAUCGAAUCUUUGAACGCACAUUGCGCCCUUUGGUAUUCCGAAGGGCAUGCCUGUUCGAGCGUCAUUAUCACCCCUCAAGCCCUCGGCUUGGUGUUGGACGGUUUGGUGGAGGCCCCCUCGGGGGUUCCUGCCCCUCCCAAAGACAAUGACGGCGGCCUCGUUGGACCCCCGGUACACUGAGUUCUUCACGGGACACGUAUCGGACACAUGGGUUUACGGGACACGGUCUGCCUCCCCUCAGGGAGAAUCUUUCUAAGGUUGACCUCGGAUCAGGUAGGGAUACCCGCUGAACUUAAGCAUAUCAAUAAGCGGAGGA
This 373-nucleotide unclassified non-coding RNA is filed under the name soil metagenome. RNAcentral's name for it is "partial contains 5.8S ribosomal RNA, internal transcribed spacer 2, and large subunit ribosomal RNA". The stretch from base 1 to 121 matches the Rfam family "5.8S ribosomal RNA", at positions 35 to 154 of the family's 154-position model. The record is from RNAcentral.